UAGGAUAGUGGGCGUAAUGAACCAAGGACAGGAGGCGGAGCUAAGGCCUCACGUCACAGCGGAUGGAUAUAACGAAGCUUCUUUGAAGCGUAAAGCAAGUAGCAGGAAGAAAUUAAUUCAGCGAGAUAAUAUAUUACUGUAUUUACAUUUUAAAACUUCAAAGCAAAGUGAUUCUUCAGUUCCGCAAAGGAACAAGUUGUGCUUAUCUACUUCUUACUGGGUUAAACUUGUCCCUGGUCGAAUAUUUAUUACAAAAACACUACGUGAAAGAAACACUCUCCUUUGGACUCGCAGUUAAACAUUAUCUCCAAAAAUGAACGGAGUCUUGAAAAUCUAUGUGUUUGGAACCAUAGUGUCACUGGCAGCUGCAUUCAUCGGACUGGUGGAUUCCUUAGGCAGUUUGAUGCAUCUUCAGAAACUUGAACUCCAGGAGUCUGAAUAUGCAUGGACUGGAUACCAGCACUACCCCUGCACAGCAAAUCUGCUGCAACAAGGGUCCCUCCGAACCAAUAAAGCUGUGGGGUCAUAAACAAGUACAUUGAUAUUUGUAACUUUAUUAUUUAUUUGUUUAUUUAGCAGACGCCUUUAUCCGAGGCGACUUACAGUAACCUUAACAGCGUGCUAUUCACAUUUUUAAAAAAAAUGUAUUUGUUGAAUUAAGUACAUUUAAUAGCAAAUAAAAAAAUAAUUAUUGGUACACAUCUGCACUAUUUUAUGUGAACAACAAAGAAACAACACUGGUAUAAGCUGAAAAAUGUUACUUGAAUAAAGUUUGUUAUAAAAGGUGUUUUAGAUGUAAAAUGUACUUUUAUUGUUACAGUGAACUCUAAAGAGUAAAAUGCACUAGUACUAACGAAAAUAAUAUGCUGCUGUAUUUCGUAAUCCCCCACCAACCAGAGGGAUAGUACAGUGGAGGUGCCUGCACAACAUAAUUAUUUAGUCAUUUCUUGAGACCAAUGAAUCCAAUUUGAUUAAACCUUGUACUAGACAUUCCUUAGUUCUUAGUGUCAACUGUAUGAAACUAACAUCUGCUUGUCUGAGCUAAUUGAAAGAGUAUAUCUUGGGAACCGAUUGGCGCUAGCUCAUAUACUUUAAGAUGAAACUUUGCAUGUACAUUUUUUUCAACUGUAUUGAGUACCUUGGUUGUCUGUUUCAUGUUUAUGGAUUUAGGGCACGGUGACCACUUUUUCAAUGUUUUUUUUUUUUUUUUUUACGUUAUAUCCUUACAUACCUUUCCUCGUACAUGUAUCACAAUACCAACUACCAAGACAACAUUAUGCUUUCUGUCAGUAGUUGGAAUGUGUGGAGGCUGUAUGUGGAAAUAGGAUUGUGUUGAUUUUAAUAUGCACUGUAUUAAAAAGACAAAUAAUUUAAGCCACUGUUAAUAUGUGUUUAUUUAAUGUGCUGUUACUUUUCAAAAAUAUUACAUUUUUGUUAAUUUCUCUUUUAUUGUGUGACAUUGUGUGCCAUUAUUGCAACAUUAAAAUCGAUUUUUAACUUUC
Molecule: long non-coding RNA, 1502 nt
Organism: Acipenser ruthenus (sterlet)
Lineage: Eukaryota; Metazoa; Chordata; Actinopteri; Acipenseriformes; Acipenseridae
Exons: 2
Source: RefSeq, a predicted model, not a curated record